CUGGGAUGCCACUCUGUGCUUGGAGAAACAGUGAUUGGGUUCCGGAGUAAAGGAGACAAGCGUCGGGCCCCGACUCUGGAAGUGGCCAGCAAUGCAGUCUUGUACAAAUGGCUUAGACUCUUCCAAGGGUUUUGGCAGCCUUUGGGACUGAGGGAAGACUUUGGACUCCCACUCAGGAUAAAGAGCCACCACACCAGAGACGCUGCUGAGAAGAGUCCCAGAGCCUGUGAUGGACUGCUGAGCUGAGCUGUUAAAUGGGGGCGCGGUGGGGGAGGUGAGGGGUGGGAAGUGAAGUGUAAUAUACCCAUCGUUAUCCCGUUUAUGUAAAAACUCCCCAGCUGUGUACUUCUGUGUGAACACACACGUGUACAGAGAGUUCUCGAAGGACAAACCCCAAACAGAUCACAGUGGCUGCUUCUGGGGAGGGGUCUAGCACUGUGGGGCGUCAGGGGAGGACCUUUCUUGGUUGUGCCCUGUGUUUUGGCAUGGUCUGACUU
Balaenoptera ricei (Rice's whale) is the source of this 497-nucleotide long non-coding RNA. RefSeq lists it as uncharacterized. NCBI's taxonomy places the organism in Eukaryota, Metazoa, Chordata, Mammalia, Artiodactyla, Balaenopteridae. The record is from RefSeq and is a predicted model, not a curated record. The transcript is spliced from 3 exons.